This 1350-nucleotide ribosomal RNA is filed under the name uncultured marine eukaryote. Its description in RNAcentral is "SSU rRNA". It matches the Rfam family "Eukaryotic small subunit ribosomal RNA", at positions 411 to 1773 of the family's 1831-position model. The record is from RNAcentral.
CACUUCUAAGGAAGGCAGCAGGCGCGCAAAUUACCCAAUCCUGACUCAGGGAGGUAGUGACAAGAAAUAACAAUAAACCGGCUUAUGCCGGUUUAAUUGGAAUGAGUACAAUUUAAACAUCUUAACGAGGAACAAUUGGAGGGCAAGUCUGGUGCCAGCAGCCGCGGUAAUUCCAGCUCCAAUAGCGUAUACUAAAGUUGUUGCAGUUAAAAAGCUCGUAGUUGGAUUUCUGUGGGGACGGAGCGGCCGGCCGCACAUCGCGGUUCGAGCUAGCGCUUUCCCUACAUCCUGCCGCGAACCGUGCUACCAUUAAUUUGGUGGCGCCGGGGAUCGGCUCGAUUACUUUGAGAAAAAUAGAGUGUUCAAAGCAGGCCACAUGCCUUGAAUAAGUUAGCAUGGAAUAAUAACUAAGGACUUCGGUUCUAUUUUGUUGGUGUUCGGGACUGAAGUAAUGAUUGAUAGGGACAGUUGGGGCGGUCUGUAUUCCAAAGCGAGAGGUGAAAUUCUUAGACCUUCGGAAGACAAACAGCUGCGAAAGCGUUCCGCAAGGAUGUUCCCUUUGAUCAAGAACGAAAGUUGGGGGAUCGAAGACGAUCAGAUACCGUCGUAGUCUCAACUAUAAACUAUACCAGCUAGGGAUCGGCCAACGUUAUUUUAUACCGACUUGGUCGGCACCUUAUGAGAAAUCAAAGCAUCUGGGUUCCGGGGGGAGUAUGGUCGCAAGGCUGAAACUUAAAGGAACUGACGGAAGGGCACCACCAGCCGUGGAGCCUGUGGCUUAAUUUGACUCAACACGGGAAAACUUACCAGGUCCAGACAUAGUAAGGAUUGACAGAUUGAUAGCUCUUUCUUGAUUCUGUGGGUGGUGGUGCAUGGCCGUUCUUAGUUGGUGGAGUGAUUUGUCUGGUUAAUUCCGUUAACGAACGAGACCCCAGCCUGCUAAAUAGCGCGCAUGAGCUUUGCUCGUGGCGAGCUUCUUAGGGGGACUAUGAUGCGCGAUAGCACAUGGAAGUUUGGGGCAAUAACAGGUCUGUGAUGCCCUUAGAUGUUCUGGGCCGCACACGGGCUACACUGGCGCCUGCAACGAGCAUAUCAGCUGGCCCGAGAGGGUCUUGGCUAAUCUUUUGAACCGGCGCCGUGCUUGGGAUUGACCUUUGCAAUUGUUGGUCAUGCAACGAGGAAUGCCUUGUAAACGCGAGUCAUCAGCUCGCAUUGAAUACGUCCCCGCCCUUUGUACACACCGCCCGUCGCUCCUACCGAUGAAUGUUCCGAUGAAAUUUUCGGAGAGCACCUGUGAACUUGGCUCUGCCUUGCGAACGGGAGGCUCAAAGUCACUUAAAUCUGAACAUU